UAGGGAAUAUUGGACAAUGGGCGCAAGCCUGAUCCAGCCAUGCCGCGUGAGUGAAGAAGGCCCUCGGGUUGUAAAGCUCUUUUGUCCGGAAAGAAAAGCAUCGGGUUAAUACCCCGGUGUUCUGCCGGUACCGGAAGAAUAAGCACCGGCUAACUUCGUGCCAGCAGCCGCGGUAAUACGAAGGGUGCAAGCGUUGCUCGGAAUUACUGAGCGUAAAGCGUGCGUAGGUGGUUCGUUAAGUCUGAUGUGAAAGCCCUGGGCUCAACCUGGGAAUGGCAUCGGAAACUGGCGGACUGGAGUGCGGUAGAGGGUAGCGGAAUUCCCGGUGUAGCAGUGAAAUGCGUAGAGAUCGGGAGGAACAUCCGUGGCGAAGGCGGCUACCUGGACCAGCACUGACACUGAGGCACGAAAGCGUGGGGAGCAAACA
Molecule: ribosomal RNA, 427 nt
Filed under: uncultured bacterium
Lineage: Bacteria
Description: bacterial SSU rRNA
Rfam family: Bacterial small subunit ribosomal RNA
Source: RNAcentral